This 402-nucleotide long non-coding RNA is filed under the name Spirodela polyrhiza (greater duckweed). RNAcentral's name for it is "long non-coding RNA (SPOL_LNC001009)". Lineage: Eukaryota; Viridiplantae; Streptophyta; Magnoliopsida; Alismatales; Araceae. The record is from RNAcentral.
CCGACAAGGACCAGUGCCACUACUCGUCGCUGGUGUCCGCCGAGCUCUGCGCCUUCUGCGAGGAUUGGAAGCAGGCGCUCGAGCGGCUGCCGGACGCGGUGGCCGGCGAGGCGAUCAAGAGCUUCGCGUGCGUGGUGCGCACCAUCUACCUGAAGCAGAGCGAGGAGGUGAAGAUCCGGAAGCGCGCGGAGGGCUUCUCCAAGGAGCUGGAGAAGAAGAGCCUCUCCCUGCGGGGGAUCGAGAAGAAGUACUACCAGUCCUACUCCAUGGUCGGCAUCGGCCUCCCCCUCGACGCCGCGGUGGACGGCAGGGGCGACCCGCUGGCGGAGAAGCGGGCGGAGAUCGCGGCGUGCCGGCGGCGGGUGGAGGAGGAGACGGCCCGGCACGUGAACGCCGUGAAGG